CGGAGGGAAACCGAGUCUUAACCGGGCGUUAAGUUGCAGGGUAUAGACCCGAAACCCGGUGAUCUAGCCAUGGGCAGGUUGAAGGUUGGGUAACACUAACUGGAGGACCGAACCGACUAAUGUUGAAAAAUUAGCGGAUGACCUGUGGCUGGGGGUGAAAGGCCAAUCAAACCGGGAGAUAGCUGGUUCUCCCCGAAAGCUAUUUAGGUAGCGCCUCGUGAAUUCAUCUCCGGGGGUAGAGCACUGUUUCGGCUAGGGGGCCAUCCCGGCUUACCAACCCGAUGCAAACUGCGAAUACCGGAGAAUGUUAUCACGGGAGACACACGGCGGGUGCUAACGUCCGUCGUGAAGAGGGAAACAACCCAGACCGCCAGCUAAGGUCCCAAAGUCAUGGUUAAGUGGGAAACGAUGUGGGAAGGCCCAGACAGCCAGGAUGUUGGCUUAGAAGCAGCCAUCAUUUAAAGAAAGCGUAAUAGCUCACUGGUCGAGUCGGCCUGCGCGGAAGAUGUAACGGGGCUAAACCAUGCACCGAAGCUGCGGCAGCGACGCUUAUGCGUUGUUGGGUAGGGGAGCGUUCUGUAAGCCUGCGAAGGUGGCCUGUGAGGGUUGCUGGAGGUAUCAGAAGUGCGAAUGCUGACAUAAGUAACGAUAAAGCGGGUGAAAAGCCCGCUCGCCGGAAGACCAAGGGUUCCUGUCCAACGUUAAUCGGGGCAGGGUGAGUCGACCCCUAAGGCGAGGCCGAAAGGCGUAGUCGAUGGGAAACGGGUUAAUAUUCCCGUACUUGGUGUUACUGCGAAGGGGGGACGGAGAAGGCUAUGUUGGCCGGGCGACGGUUGUCCCGGUUUAAGCGUGUAGGUGUGUGUUCCAGGUAAAUCCGGUUCACUUUAACACUGAGGCGUGACGACGAGGCACUACGGUGCUGAAGCAACAAAUGCCCUGCUUCCAGGAAAAGCCUCUAAGCAUCAGGUAACAUCAAAUCGUACCCCAAACCGACACAGGUGGUCAGGUAGAGAAUACCAAGGCGCUUGAGAGAACUCGGGUGAAGGAACUAGGCAAAAUGGUGCCGUAACUUCGGGAGAAGGCACGCUGACACGUAGGUGAAGUGAUUUACUCAUGGAGCUGAAGUCAGUCGAAGAUACCAGCUGGCUGCAACUGUUUAUUAAAAACACAGCACUGUGCAAACACGAAAGUGGACGUAUACGGUGUGACGCCUGCCCGGUGCCGGAAGGUUAAUUGAUGGGGUCAGCGCAAGCGAAGCUCCUGAUCGAAGCCCCGGUAAACGGCGGCCGUAACUAUAACGGUCCUAAGGUAGCGAAAUUCCUUGUCGGGUAAGUUCCGACCUGCACGAAUGGCGUAAUGAUGGCCAGGCUGUCUCCACCCGAGACUCAGUGAAAUUGAACUCGCUGUGAAGAUGCAGUGUACCCGCGGCAAGACGGAAAGACCCCGUGAACCUUUACUAUAGCUUGACACUGAACAUUGAGCCUUGAUGUGUAGGAUAGGUGGGAGGCUUUGAAGUGUGGACGCCAGUCUGCAUGGAGCCGACCUUGAAAUACCACCCUUUAAUGUUUGAUGUUCUAACGUGGACCCGUUACCCGGGUUGCGGACAGUGUCUGGUGGGUAGUUUGACUGGGGCGGUCUCCUCCUAAAGAGUAACGGAGGAGCACGAAGGUUGGCUAAUCCUGGUCGGACAUCAGGAGGUUAGUGCAAUGGCAUAAGCCAGCUUGACUGCGAGCGUGACGGCGCGAGCAGGUGCGAAAGCAGGUCAUAGUGAUCCGGUGGUUCUGAAUGGAAGGGCCAUCGCUCAACGGAUAAAAGGUACUCCGGGGAUAACAGGCUGAUACCGCCCAAGAGUUCAUAUCGACGGCGGUGUUUGGCACCUCGAUGUCGGCUCAUCACAUCCUGGGGCUGAAGUAGGUCCCAAGGGUAUGGCUGUUCGCCAUUUAAAGUGGUACGCGAGCUGGGUUUAGAACGUCGUGAGACAGUUCGGUCCCUAUCUGCCGUGGGCGCUGGAGAACUGAGGGGGGCUGCUCCUAGUACGAGAGGACCGGAGUGGACGCAUCACUGGUGUUCGGGUUGUCAUGCCAAUGGCACUGCCCGGUAGCUAAAUGCGGAAGAGAUAAGUGCUGAAAGCAUCUAAGCACGAAACUUGCCCCGA
This 2155-nucleotide ribosomal RNA is filed under the name Salmonella enterica subsp. enterica serovar Enteritidis. RNAcentral describes it as "partial 23S ribosomal RNA". It matches the Rfam family "Bacterial large subunit ribosomal RNA", at positions 667 to 2802 of the family's 2925-position model. The record is from RNAcentral. Lineage: Bacteria; Pseudomonadati; Pseudomonadota; Gammaproteobacteria; Enterobacterales; Enterobacteriaceae.